This 103-nucleotide small nucleolar RNA is filed under the name Echinops telfairi (small Madagascar hedgehog). Its description in RNAcentral is "Small nucleolar RNA SNORA61 (ENSETEG00000025487.1)". The record is from RNAcentral. Lineage: Eukaryota; Metazoa; Chordata; Mammalia; Afrosoricida; Tenrecidae.
CCCCUCCAGAGUCCUCACCCAUCAGCUCUAAACAUUGAUCUGAGUGGCAAUAAAAGGGGGAAAAGCAAAUCUGAAAUAGACUUGGAUUCUUUUUAAAAAAUUC